Molecule: long non-coding RNA, 519 nt
Organism: Peromyscus californicus insignis
Lineage: Eukaryota; Metazoa; Chordata; Mammalia; Rodentia; Cricetidae
Exons: 4
Source: RefSeq, a predicted model, not a curated record
CCAAAGCAGAAGCUUUUAUGGAGUUGGUGGCCUGCUUGUCGUGGAUACAGAUCUUUCCUAUGAUGUGUUGGGUCUGGUCUGCUUUCCAGUGCUUCACAUACUUUCCUCACAGUUGAAGAUGUGACUGCUCUGCUUCCCGUAACUGUUGUUGUGUGCUGCCAUGCCGUCCCCACCAAAAUGAACUCAAACUUCCUGGAACCAUAAACGAAAAUCAAAGUGUCCUUCAGGAAAUUGCUUCGGUCAUGGUGUUUCAUCACAGCAGCAGAAACUUGUUCCACUGCUGCCCUCUGUAUGCCGCUAGCUGGCCAGUGAGCUUUGAGCUCCACCUCCAUCUCCCUGUAGGGAUGCUGAGAAUACAGAUGCACAGCCCUGCAUUCAGCUUUUUUCAUGGGUCAUCAGACUUACAUGCUUAAAGCUGGAGAAGCCUGCAACCUGGAGAAGCCAUGUAAACACAGGAGAAACGAGAUAAAGAUAAACAGCUCUGGAUAAAGCAUGAUUCCUGUAAGUCAAGUGGCAGGC